This 309-nucleotide ribosomal RNA is filed under the name Ophiothrix fragilis. RNAcentral's name for it is "partial 16S ribosomal RNA". It matches the Rfam family "Bacterial large subunit ribosomal RNA", at positions 1994 to 2534 of the family's 2925-position model. The record is from RNAcentral. Lineage: Eukaryota; Metazoa; Echinodermata; Ophiuroidea; Amphilepidida; Ophiotrichidae.
CAACGGCUUGACGAUAAGAAAGCUGUCUCUCUUUACUAAACUCUGAAGUUAGCUGGAUAGUGAAGAGACUCUCUUAGCAAAGCGGGACGAGAAGACCCCGUUGAGCUUUAGUAAAAAUUGUUUAUUAAAGACUUGAUUACUUGAGUUGGGGCAACUAUCUUUCUUUUUUAAAACAAAGAUAAAAAUGUUUUGAGUUGAUUCUUUUAUGACCCUUAAUCUUAGGAAUAGUAGAAAAAGUUACCACGGGGAUAACAGCGUAAUUUUUUUUGAGAGUUCUUAUUGACAAAAAAGUUUGCGACCUCGAUGUUG